GCGACCCCAGGUCAGGCGGGGCUACCCGCUGAAUUUAAGC
This 40-nucleotide ribosomal RNA is filed under the name Viscaria atropurpurea. RNAcentral describes it as "partial 28S ribosomal RNA". The record is from RNAcentral. Lineage: Eukaryota; Viridiplantae; Streptophyta; Magnoliopsida; Caryophyllales; Caryophyllaceae.